UAGGGAAUCUUCCGCAAUGGACGAAAGUCUGACGGAGCAACGCCGCGUGAGUGAAGAAGGAUUUCGGUUCGUAAAACUCUGUUGUUAGGGAAGAAAAAAUGUACAGUAACUAUAUACAAAAGAGACGGUACCUAACCAGAAAGCCACGGCUAACUACGUGCCAGCAGCCGCGGUAAUACGUAGGUGGCAAGCGUUGUCCGGAAUUAUUGGGCGUAAAGCGCGCGCAGGUGGUUUAGAAAGUCUGAUGUGAAAGCCCACGGCUCAACCGUGGAGGGUCAUUGGAAACUAAUAAACUUGAGUGCAGGAGAGAAAAGUGGAAUUCCUAGUGUAGCGGUGAAAUGCGUAGAGAUUAGGAGGAACACCGGUGGCGAAAGCGGCUUUUUGGCCUGCAACUGACACUGAGGCGCGAAAGCGUGGGGAGCAAACAGG
Molecule: ribosomal RNA, 429 nt
Filed under: Verrucomicrobiota bacterium
Lineage: Bacteria; Pseudomonadati; Verrucomicrobiota
Description: Verrucomicrobia bacterium partial 16S ribosomal RNA
Rfam family: Bacterial small subunit ribosomal RNA
Source: RNAcentral